This 743-nucleotide long non-coding RNA is filed under the name Elaeis guineensis (African oil palm). RNAcentral describes it as "long non-coding RNA (EGUI_LNC024113)". The record is from RNAcentral. Lineage: Eukaryota; Viridiplantae; Streptophyta; Magnoliopsida; Arecales; Arecaceae.
UGGGUAGGUUCUUAACCAGUUGUUUCUCUAACAACUUCUAGUAAUUGAUUUUACCCCAGAACCUAAUCAGUAGGCUUUGGCCUCCACUGAUAAGAUCUGGUUAGGUCCAACCAUUAACAUGACUAAAUUUGGUGAAUCAGACCAAUAAAUGAUCAGGCCCGACUUUGGCCGGUCAACCUAACCACCAUCAGAAAGACUCAACCAAAUUAUCAUAUUAUGAAUGAUAAUUCCAUUAGCCAAUGAGCACCAUGUCUUUGGGCCUCCAAUGAUCAUUGAACUAAUGGACUCAUUAUCACUCACUUAAUGGGAGGCAUUGACUUAGUUAUCAUUAUAACUUAAUCAUUUUAGGGACCUAAUAAUUUUUUAGGAUUUUAUUAAAGGAUAGUAGAGAAGAAAUUAUCUAGCCAAUUUCAAUCCUCCCACUGACUUCACCAAGUCAGAUUAAAAAAGAUUUAAUUAAAGCUGGCAUUAGGAGCACCUAAAUCAGUCACACUGAUUUACCUAAUGACAUGGGUGAGCUCUAAUCACCAAAUGAUCUAAUCAAAAUCUAACUUACCAUAUUGGCCAGGUAAGUGAGAUCAGUGGUGGGGAUUUGCCAUUAACUCGUCAAUGAUCGAAUCAAUGCGAGUAGCUCCCGCUUAAGAACUACUGAUCAAAACUGCCAAACUUACCUUAGAUACCAACCAGUUCAUUAGUUUUAAUUUUGAUCAACUUAGUAAAUAGGGCUCCACCGCGUAGCCAUG